CAGCUUUGCCAAUACCUACAUACAAUGGCACUGAUAUAUUAUAGGAAAGUCCAAACUUUCUAGCUCCAUGCAAAACAUGGAAAAUUAAAAGCUUUGCUAGAAUUAUAACACUGCUUAUGAGAGACAAACAUGAUUGGCCUGAAGAAAUGUUUUUGGUUUUUGAUUUUUU
Candoia aspera is the source of this 169-nucleotide long non-coding RNA. RefSeq lists it as uncharacterized. Lineage: Eukaryota; Metazoa; Chordata; Lepidosauria; Squamata; Candoiidae. The record is from RefSeq and is a predicted model, not a curated record. The transcript is spliced from 2 exons.